GCAAAAAUGGACACAAUAUUCAAGCUUGAUACAAGUCUGAAUUUGGAUUGUAAUUAAAUAUUUGACAUACAUGUAUUAUAGGUUUCUGAAUAAAUGUAGUCAAAGAACUUGAAGUUGGUUAUAUGAAUUGAAUUUAUAUUCAAUUAAAGAUUUGACUUGCUGUUGUGCAAUACACUGUGCUGUUGCGCAAUACUUAGUAAAUCUGUUGUCAGAC
Mytilus californianus (California mussel) is the source of this 214-nucleotide long non-coding RNA. RefSeq lists it as uncharacterized. The record is from RefSeq and is a predicted model, not a curated record. The transcript has 2 exons. NCBI's taxonomy places the organism in Eukaryota, Metazoa, Mollusca, Bivalvia, Mytilida, Mytilidae.